This 266-nucleotide ribosomal RNA is filed under the name uncultured bacterium. RNAcentral describes it as "partial 16S ribosomal RNA". It matches the Rfam family "Bacterial small subunit ribosomal RNA", at positions 793 to 1055 of the family's 1533-position model. The record is from RNAcentral.
GUCCACGCUGUAAACGAUGAGAACUAGGUGUCGCGGGAGUUAACCCCUGCGGCGCCGUAGCUAACGCAUUAAGUUCUCCGCCUGGGGAGUACGGCCGCAAGGUUAAAACUCAAAGGAAUUGACGGGGGCCCGCACAAGCGGUGGAGAAUGUGGUUUAAUUCGACGCAACGCGAAGAACCUUACCUGGGCUUGACAUCUGCGGAAUCCUUCAGAGAUGAGGGAGUGCUCGCAAGAGAGCCGCAAGACAGGUGCUGCAUGGCUGUCGU